This 253-nucleotide ribosomal RNA is filed under the name uncultured bacterium. RNAcentral describes it as "partial 16S ribosomal RNA". It matches the Rfam family "Bacterial small subunit ribosomal RNA", at positions 524 to 776 of the family's 1533-position model. The record is from RNAcentral.
UACAGAGGGCUCAAGCGUUGUUCGGAUUCAUUGGGCGUAAAGGGUGCGUAGGUGGUGUGGCAAGUCGGAUGUGAAAUCCCGGGGCUCAACCCCGGAACUGCAUUCGAUACUGCCUUGCUAGAGUACUGGAGAGGAGAUUGGAAUUUACGGUGUAGCAGUGAAAUGCGUAGAUAUCAGGAGGAACACCGGUGGCGAAGGCGGGUCUCUGGGCAGUAACUGACGCUGAGGAGCGAAAGCGUGGGGAGCGAACAGG